This 254-nucleotide ribosomal RNA is filed under the name uncultured bacterium. RNAcentral describes it as "partial 16S ribosomal RNA". It matches the Rfam family "Bacterial small subunit ribosomal RNA", at positions 524 to 777 of the family's 1533-position model. The record is from RNAcentral.
UACGUAGGUGGCGAGCGUUGUCCGGAUUUACUGGGCGUAAAGAGCGCGCAGGCGGUCGUUCAAGUCGCGUGUGAAAGCCCCCGGCUCAACUGGGGAGGGUCACGCGAUACUGAUCGACUCGAAGGCAGGAGAGGGAAGUGGAAUUCCCGGUGUAGUGGUGAAAUGCGUAGAUAUCGGGAGGAACACCAGUGGCGAAGGCGACUUCCUGGCCUGUUCUUGACGCUGAGGCGCGAAAGCUAGGGUAGCAAACGGGG